GACGAACGCUGGCGGCGUGCUUAACACAUGCAAGUCGAACGCUGAAGCUUGGUGCUUGCACUGGGUGGAUGAGUGGCGAACGGGUGAGUAAUACGUGAGUAACCUGCCCUUGACUCUGGGAUAAGCCUGGGAAACUGGGUCUAAUACUGGAUACGACAUGUCACCGCAUGGUGGUGUGUGGAAAGGGUUUUACUGGUUUUGGAUGGGCUCACGGCCUAUCAGCUUGUUGGUGGGGUAAUGGCUCACCAAGGCGACGACGGGUAGCCUGCCUGAGAGGGGGACCGGCCACCCUGGGACUGCGACACGGCCCAGACUCCUACGGGAGGCAGCAGUGGGGAAUAUGGCACAAUGGGCGGAAGCCUGAUGCAGCGACGCCGCGUGCGGGAUGACGGCCUUCGGGUUGUAAACCUCUUUCAGCACGGAAGAAGCGAAAGUGACGGUACGUGCAGAAGAAGCGCCGGCUAACUACGUG
Molecule: ribosomal RNA, 472 nt
Filed under: uncultured bacterium
Lineage: Bacteria
Description: partial 16S ribosomal RNA
Rfam family: Bacterial small subunit ribosomal RNA
Source: RNAcentral